Long non-coding RNA from Engraulis encrasicolus (European anchovy), 437 nucleotides. RefSeq lists it as uncharacterized. The transcript has 4 exons. The record is from RefSeq and is a predicted model, not a curated record. Lineage: Eukaryota; Metazoa; Chordata; Actinopteri; Clupeiformes; Engraulidae.
CAGAACCACGCGUUGUCUGUGUGGUUUACAAGUUUCUUGGCGAUAUGGGGGGAAGUUCCUCACAUACCAACGGAAAAUGGGCUUCAUAUACAUGCUGCUGUCUCAUAAUAUGGCGAAGACGAGUCACCUGAAGGCCUAACUCGCCAUAGAAGACUGAAAGAAUUGUCCUGCAGGAUGCUGUGUCCUGCAAUCCUGUGUGCUGUGCUACAGACGCGUGUGGAGGUCAACCCAAAAUGGGCACAGUCUCACCACAGAAGAGUGAAAGAGGCUCCCAGAAGUGAGACUGAGUGCCUGUUGCAGUAUGACGAGGACGCAGUGACCAGAGACCUUCAGUAGACCCUGCUGGCAUGAUUGGCGUCUGAAGAACAUGAAAUCAACAGCAAUGUUUAUAAUGUUGUACAUACCUGUAUAGUCUGUAUUAAAAGGCAGUACCUGUA